UUGAAGCACUCGUGAAUUGCAAUUAUUUGAAAUUUGAACAAAAAAAUACAGACCACAGUCGUGCAGAGUUCUACUUCUAAUAGUUCUAUUCAUACAUAUUAUUACAUAAUCGCCAUGCAUAAGUGUAUUGUUUUUAGUAAAACAUCCGAAGUAUCGCCUAGCCACAUUAUGUUGGUUUUAAUUUAUUUCCAAAAAAUGAAAAUAGAAGGAAAUAAUGGCUAAACAUGUUCGAAUUAAAUGAUUAUCCCAAUUUCUAUCUGACAUAGUAUCUGCGGAUUAUUUCUCAAUUACUGAUUGUAAACAAUGCUCUCAAAACAUAAUCCAAACCGUUUGUCUGGGAUAGAGAAGAAAAAUAAAUUUUAGUAAAUUACAGCAAUAUUGGUACUACUCUGAGCACGACUAAUAAAUUGCAUCUAUGUGUUGGUCUGUUUUUUGCGCUGUGCCACUGCAGUGGUAGACGACGGUGUUGUCUCCAGAACCGAACAAUGUCAGCGAGGGUGGAGCGUGACGUUGCUACUCGUUGCCGGUGGUUAGCAGACAAAAAAUUGAACA
Molecule: long non-coding RNA, 552 nt
Organism: Metopolophium dirhodum (rose-grain aphid)
Lineage: Eukaryota; Metazoa; Arthropoda; Insecta; Hemiptera; Aphididae
Exons: 3
Source: RefSeq, a predicted model, not a curated record